AACGAACGCUGGCGGCAUGCCUAACACAUGCAAGUCGAACGAGACCUUCGGGUCUAGUGGCGCACGGGUGCGUAACGCGUGGGAACCUGCCCUUAGGUUCGGAAUAACUCCCCGAAAGGGGUGCUAAUACCGGAUAAUGUCUUCGGACCAAAGAUUUAUCGCCUUUGGAUGGGCCCGCGUUGGAUUAGCUAGUUGGUAGGGUAAAAGCCUACCAAGGCGACGAUCCAUAGCUGGUCUGAGAGGAUGAUCAGCCACACUGGGACUGAGACACGGCCCAGACCCCUACGGGAGGCAGCAGUGGAGAAUAUUGGACAAUGGGCGAAAGCCUGAUCAAGCAAUGCCGCGUGAGUGAUGAAGGCCUUAGGGUUGUAAAGCUCUUUUACCCGGGAUGAUAAUGACAGUACCGGGAGAAUAAGCUCCGGCUAACUCCGUG
This 433-nucleotide ribosomal RNA is filed under the name uncultured bacterium. Its description in RNAcentral is "partial 16S ribosomal RNA". It matches the Rfam family "Bacterial small subunit ribosomal RNA", at positions 29 to 507 of the family's 1533-position model. The record is from RNAcentral.